ACAGUUGGAGCCCUUCUGAAUGUCCGUUUGGGCUCAAAUUUGACAGGCAAGCUCGGUUUAACGUACUGAGUAAGAAUAUAUUUUAAGUUUUCAGUUUCGACCCCUUUUGGUCACCGAAAACUGUACCGAACUGUAAUCUUUAUUAGAUAGGUGUCGGAUUUUAUUUCUCACUCUACGGGUGUCAGAAAAAUAUGAAACUUUAAAUCUAGCCUCAUAAAAAUAUUUCUGACUUAUCCUCCAAUUUUCAUAAUUUUCUGAGACUAUGCAUUUUCUGCUAACUUAUCUGUCCCGUUUCCAACAGAAAAUUCUAGAUCUUCUGUUUUCAUUCCGAUUUCAGCAUAAGUCAUUUUUGACUUAUAUUUUACUUCUAUAAAUUCAAUAAAAAUAGUUUCUCACACUAUUUUUAUUUAUUUUUAUUUUUAUACCAAAAUCUGGUAUGUUACAAAAACUGUCUGUGUACCGGUACACAGGCCACCGUACCGGUACAACCAUCAACCCCGUAUCGGU
This 507-nucleotide long non-coding RNA is filed under the name Ananas comosus (pineapple). Its description in RNAcentral is "long non-coding RNA (ACOM_LNC038147)". Lineage: Eukaryota; Viridiplantae; Streptophyta; Magnoliopsida; Poales; Bromeliaceae. The record is from RNAcentral.